This 460-nucleotide ribosomal RNA is filed under the name uncultured bacterium. RNAcentral describes it as "partial 16S ribosomal RNA". It matches the Rfam family "Bacterial small subunit ribosomal RNA", at positions 338 to 795 of the family's 1533-position model. The record is from RNAcentral.
CCUACGGGAGACAGCAGUGAGGAAUAUUGGUCAAUGGACGAGAGUCUGAACCAGCCAAGUAGCGUGAAGGAUGACUGCCCUAUGGGUUGUAAACUUCUUUUAUAUGGGAAUAAAAUGUUCCACGUGUGGGAUUUUGUAUGUACCAUAUGAAUAAGGAUCAGCUAACUCCGUGCCAGCAGCCGCGGUAAUACGGAGGAUCCGAGCGUUAUCCGGAUUUAUUGGGUUUAAAGGGCGCGUAGGUGGAUUGUUAAGUCAGUUGUGAAAGUUUGCGGCUCAACCGUGAAAUUGCAGUUGAAACUGGCAGUCUUGAGUACGGUAGAGGUGGGCGGAAUUCGUGGUGUAGCGGUGAAAUGCUUAGAUAUCACGAAGAACUCCGAUUGCGAAGGCAGUUCACUGGACUGCAACUGACACUGAGGCUCGAAAGUGUGGGUAUCAAACAGGAUUAGAUACCCGUGUAGUC